CCUACGGGAGGCAGCAGUGGGGAAUAUUGGACAAUGGGCGAAAGCCUGAUCCAGCCAUGCCGCGUGUGUGAAGAAGGCCUUCGGGUUGUAAAGCACUUUCAGUGGGGAAGAAAGCCUUGGGGCUAAUACCCUCGAGGAAAGACAUCACCCACAGAAGAAGCACCGGCUAACUCCGUGCCAGCAGCCGCGGUAAUACGGAGGGUGCGAGCGUUAAUCGGAAUUACUGGGCGUAAAGCGCGCGUAGGCGGUCUGAUAAGCCGGUUGUGAAAGCCCCGGGCUCAACCUGGGAACGGCAUCCGGAACUGUCAGGCUAGAGUGCAGGAGAGGAAGGUAGAAUUCCCGGUGUAGCGGUGAAAUGCGUAGAGAUCGGGAGGAAUACCAGUGGCGAAGGCGGCCUUCUGGACUGACACUGACGCUGAGGUGCGAAAGCGUGGGUAGCAAACAGGAUUAGAUACCCGUGUAGUC
This 465-nucleotide ribosomal RNA is filed under the name Vreelandella stevensii. Its description in RNAcentral is "partial 16S ribosomal RNA". It matches the Rfam family "Bacterial small subunit ribosomal RNA", at positions 338 to 795 of the family's 1533-position model. Lineage: Bacteria; Pseudomonadati; Pseudomonadota; Gammaproteobacteria; Oceanospirillales; Halomonadaceae. The record is from RNAcentral.